CGCUCUAUUAUUAUUAUUGUUGUUGUUGUUGUUGUUAUUGUUAUUGCUAUUGCAGUUCCACUGCGUCCACUGCCCCAGAUGUAACGUCGACGGAGAAAAGCCAAAAAGUUGGAGGAUAUUAAACCCCUGUUCUAGCUAGCUCACUGUUCCAUCCCAAUUAUUGAGCCAGCUUCAUCGAUUGGGUGUAUGCAAAGGACAACCGCCGACGACAGUUCCCGCCCUGUUCGAUCAGUUGCUGAUCUGGGCCCAUGGUAUGGUAUGGAGCGUGCAAAGCUGCCCGCCAAAGCUGCAGAUAGCGGAGUGAGCGCCCCGGAUCGAUUCGAAAAGAAUGCCAUUGUGGGGCGAAGAAACACGGCGCACUCUGGCGCUUGCUAGCCGGUCGGCAAAACAGGAUUUAGGAGCGGGAUCUACAUAGCAAGGGAAAAAAAGCCCAGGGGAAUAUUGUCGCUCGGUUGAUCAGGUUGACGAUAGAGAUGAGCAGGGCGGCGGAUACAGUACGUACAUUGCCCUGACAGCGAUGAUAUUCCACGAAGAUGAAUAAUAACAUCUAUCAAAAAUGCUACAAAAAUGCUACGGGUAUGGCAGUACUCUUGCAAAAGCAAGUCGCAGGCACGCCAAUAACGCCCUCGACGGUGAUAAUAGCUACGACAUGAAAAACCACUGGUUGGGGACAUACAACUAUAACCCUGCAAAGCCAUAGACGGUUAUCUAGAUAGGAAUGCUCCGCAGGCUGCUCUAACUGAAAGGCAAACUCCAGCCUUGUAUCCUCAGCUAAGAUACCAAACACCAAUAUAUCACAAAAAGAAAACAGCAUGUUCUCCGUCCUACUUCUUCCUGCAGACAAAAAUUGGGCCAACAGGUUUAAAUUAGAUGCUGGUGAAGCAAGCGAAGCAAUUAGGGGGAGAGUCCCCACAACAACACGUCAUAUACGGCAAACAUGAAUUGAGCAUAAACAAAGAGAGGCCAAGGGCGAUAUCCAGAGCUUGCGGUUCAAAAGUGGGCGAGAUGACAAACAGCGGCGUGGGGCCGGUCGUCAUCUCUACCACAGAUUCGAAAGGGGAAAUAAGAAGACAUCCCUUCGAAGUGAGCAGGCGGCCCGACCAUACUGCUAUGGCGAGGUGGGCAACAUUGUACUGUACAAGCUGCUCGUCGAACCCGUGGCCCUGCUUCCACCUGUCAUUAUUUCUUCUUCCAACGGCUUCGUCCACUAUUAACACAUUCGCAUUUUAAUAAUCACUGAAUCCUGGGUAUCCUAGAGCUUUUAAUUCUUGAAAGGGGCGACCACCCUCUAUCCCCCAGACGUUCUAAAAAGAAACGGGUUGGGAAAAGAAGGGAGGAACAAAAAAAAUAAAAUAAAAUAAUAACGGGUCAUGUUUAGAAGGUGCAGUUCACACAAGUCCCACAAUCCCCGUUCUGAAACAUGGAUUGUAGCAGGAGAAACUGUGCUGAAAUCAGAAGAGAAAUGCCCAGCCUCCCCCUUUUCGAUUUCGCUCCUCUCUCACAUCUCCCAUGAUUCACGGUUGCCGCAAAAUUCCACAAUCAGCCUUUCCAGGUCGGCCAACUUGUAUGGUUUCGUCAUAUAGCCUUCCAUCCCCACUUUGGUAGCUCGGCCCAACGCCUCAUCCGUGACAUCCGCACUGACUGCUAGGAUAGUCGGGCUGGGUGGUAAUAAAACGUCCGGGUUCGCACUCCGCAUUCUAUCACGAUGACUCCCAACCAUAUCCAGUAUUUCCUCCGUCGCCUGAUAUCCGUCCAUAUCGGGCAUCCAGAGAUCCAUAAGGAUGACGUCAACGAACUUCGAUUUGGGCACCUGCUUGAUAGACGGCUCGUUGAAUGUUGACAUUUGGCAGUCUUCUAUGAGCGACGUUAUCGUGUCAGUGCUCAUUUCGGAGACACUUCGACUAGAAGGGCUUUGCGGGGGUGGUCCUGGGUCGGGGGCAACGUCGUUCAAGAUCAUCUCGCUCAUAAUACGAACAGCUUCUUUGCCGUUGAAAGCCUCAUAUACAUCGUUGUAUCCCAGCUUCGCAAGCAUGCUAACGAGAAUUCGUCUAUUGAUUUUGUUGUCUUCGGCUACAAGAAACGUGAGAGGGUGUUUGUCGGCAAGAUGGCGGUCAUAGCCAUUGGAGCUAAGAAGGGCGGAACCGCCACGGGAUGAAAUCGAUAGGCGACGUGAGGGUGCUAGCCAACCGCCGUUUGUGAAGCUCGAGCUUGCUCGAGCUGGUGCCGGGCGGUUUGAAGAAGGAUCCGACGGGGGAGUUUCGGAACCAUUCCCAACCGAUUUAGGCCCAUUUGUUUGACUGUCGCAACGUGAAGAUGGGUUCGAAUUCGAUUGGGAAACUGUGCACUCGUCGCGUUGAGGCGUGGUUGGCGGGCUGACACUGUCGUUGGGGCUUAUGGGUAGCCGGAUUUCGAAUUCGGAUCCACGAUCUGGUUCCCUCGUCGAAGAACGACGGCAUCUUAAAUCACCGCCAAGCUUCCUAGACAAGCCCUUGGCGACUAACAGCCCGAGUCCCAAGCCUUCCUUGCUCCUCGUUGUAGAGUCGUCUUCCCGAGCAAAAGGCUGGAAGAGGUUUGGAAGAAAGUCCUCUGGAAUACCGGUUCCAGUAUCGCUGAUAUUAAUUAAAACGCACUUGCCCGAACUACUCAACUUUGUAACAAGCGUAAUGGUUCCAGACUCUGUAAACUUGAGAGCGUUGAUAAAGACGCAGGACACCAACUUGGUAAAGUCUCUUUCGUCGACAUAUAAGAUAUCCGGCACUGACGGGUCGACAAACCAAUCGAUAAUCUUUGUCGAAGCCCGUCCAUUUGAAGAUCUUGACCUAAUCUCGAUUUUUUGCCCAAACAUGUUCGGCUCAACGAAAGCGGAAUCCGGACGGCCUCCUACAUGGAGUGAUUCGUGGAUAAGCGGUUGGAGUAUCUCACGGAUUUUGGUGGACUGCAGUGUCAUCGGAGGGAAGACCUUGGGUUUAACGUAUAUGCUAGAACACGAAAACUGCUCGGGGAUUGAGGCGCGUCGUGCAUUGAUCAAAGCUUCUUGGACUUCGUUGUCUUCCUCGACUCGCGGGCCGGCUUGAACGAUUUUGUCGCUCUCUUCAACUACCGUCUUGACAUCUGCGCUUCGGGGUGAGAGUUCUCGUCGACGUAAUCUGGGUGAUCUGGAUCCUGACGGAGGGCUAUAAUUCCAAUCAACUGGACUACUCCUUCUACGCUUGUAUGGAUUUACAGCAAUGUUGUUCCCUUCGAUUAGGAUAUUCGGACGAGUAUCGUAUUCUCCACUAUAUGACCGCAAAGAAGCUCCAGUACUUUGCUCACCAGCCUGGUUCUGGGGUGUUUCAGGUAUUUGCAUAUUUAGAUCGCCAUUAACACGACUUGACAUCCAAAAUAAUGGAACGGCGCCAACUACGCUAAAUAUCGAAGACGGAACUAACCUUGGAUUGCCUCAAUGUUAUCUUUGAGCUCCUGGAACACGGGAAUUACUCCUGCUGCAUCGAGACGCUUGUCCAUUGCUUCUUGCACGUUGGCAUGCAUGACAUCCAGCAUCCCAACCACCCCUUGCAUCGGUGUUCUUAACUCAUGGGAUAGGCUCCUUGCAUACGGUUUGAACGACUGUGAGCCUGUCGUGGAGUGAUGAUAGACCGUGGGUCUACUUGCUUUUGCUCUGCCUCUUCGCUGUUGUUCGUCUCUUUUCUGGACGAGCGUUGGCUUCUUGUAGUUCUGUUCGUCCAGGAUGCGGUGUUGUACAAAGUCCUCCAAGGAAUGUAGGAUCAUCUCAAGAUAUGCCCAGGAGACAUCACGCCUCGCUAAACCUUCAGCGGUCCACAUCAGCCCAAAAUGAGCAAAACAUUUUCCACCCGAGAACAAAGGGACAGCUAAGUAGGCAUCCAUUGGGAAUGGGAGCAUAUUUGGGCCAUUGCUUAUGUAUGAAGUCAAGUUUUCCGGGAUGAGGAAAACCUUGUCGUGCUUCAUGAAGUCACAAGGUAUAUCCCGAGCGAGAUGCUUGUAGUUUCUAUGCAUCGCUGAGAUCGA
Molecule: small RNA, 4026 nt
Filed under: Histoplasma capsulatum var. duboisii H88
Lineage: Eukaryota; Fungi; Ascomycota; Eurotiomycetes; Onygenales; Ajellomycetaceae
Description: Histoplasma capsulatum H88 hypothetical RNA
Source: RNAcentral